UAAAAAUUUAUGAUUUGAGAAUUUUAUUUUAAGUUUAAUUUACAUGUAAAUUUUAGUAUGAAUUUUAUUAUAUUUUAAAAAUAUAAUAAUUUAUUUACAGUAAUUAAAAUUAAAAAUUUAAGAAAUUAAGAUUUAGUAAUACAAUAAUAAAUAACAAAUUUUGUGCCAGCAGUUGCGGUUAUACAAAAAUUUAAAUAAAUUUUAUUAGUAAAAAUAAAUAAUUUAGUUUUAAAUUAAAUUUAAAAUUAUUAAGUGAAAUUUUAAUUUUUAAAAAAUUUAUUUAAUAAAUAUGAAUUUAAAAAUUUUAUUGAUAAACUAGGAUUAGAUACCCUAUUAUAAAAAAUUAAUUUUUAAUACUAAAAAAGUAAAUAAUUAUUUAUUGAAACUUAAAUAAUUUGGCGGUAUUUUAGUUCAUUUAGAGGAAUCUGUCUAUUAAUUGAUAAUCCACGAAUAAUUAUAUUUAAUUUAAAAUUUUAUAUAUCGUUGUUAAAAAAAUAUUUUUUUAAAAUAAUAAUAUUUUAAAAUUUUUAAUAAAAAUUAAUUCAGAUCAAGAUGUAGAUAAUAAUUAAAAUUUAAGAUGGAUUACAAUAUAAAUAUAUAAAUGGAAAAUAAUUUGAAAUAAUUAUUUGAAAGUGGAUUUAAAUGUAAUUUUGAAUAAUUUUUUAAAAUGAUUAAAAAUUGAAAUAUGUACAUAUUGCCCGUCACUUUCAUUUAAAAAUUGGAAUAAGUCGUAACAAAGUAGAGGUACUGGAAAGUGUUUCUAGAAAGAC
RNAcentral lists this non-coding RNA (770 nucleotides) under Cepora nadina. Lineage: Eukaryota; Metazoa; Arthropoda; Insecta; Lepidoptera; Pieridae. The record is from RNAcentral.